GCAACCUUGUUGAUUUAUCGGUCUUGUCUUUUAAACUUGUUUAAUCAAAAUCCAAAUUGUGGUAUUGAACAGAGAAACCUGAGCCAUUUGAUUUCUUGAUACAGUUCUAGUUUCUCUCUUAACGUCUGUAAAGUAGCUCAAACUGAAAAUCUGGGUUUGAUUCUAUGUGGUAAUUGUUUGAUUUGGAAGGGAGUUUCGAGAGGUUUGUGAUUCCUUAUCAUUGGUUUUGAGAUUGGUGAAGUGUCUUUGCUUGUCUCAAUCUUCCGGAUCGAUAACCGUGGAAGAUUUUAGUUGUUGAGAAAAAUGCAUAUGAGGUAUAUGGAGAGGACUAAUAGUAUGAGAGAAAAGAGACAACUUGAGGAAGAUGAUAAUAACAAUCAGCAGCCUGAGCGUAAAAGGCCCGCUCUUGCAAGUGUAAUUGUGGAAGCCCUGAAGACAAGACCAAUAAAUCACUCGUAAUCGUGCAGCCUAAUAAUAGCCGCACAAGACCAAGACCCAUGGAGUUUAGCUAAAGAUGUAUUGCCACGAGAAGAUGAACAUGUCUACGAGGUUCAUCGUUCUGAUCACCAUGUCACCAGAAGGAAGAUGGUGAUGCUCAGAAUCUGAAACAGAUAUGGAUUGGAGCGAGUGAACGUCAAAGGAUCUUAUAUCACUGUCUUUCAACUCAAAACCGUAAUUCAAGAUCAGCUCCAAGAUCCCUCACCAUAACCAGACCUUAUCCACUGAUCGCAACCUUCUCUUCGCGAAGACUCCCGAUGAUUUCGUCAGCUUCACCGACAUGACCGACCCCAACCUCCUUAUCUCCUCUCUUAAUAUCUCUCCCACAGAUCCAUGCUCUACCUGGCGUAUGAAGGUGAGCACACGAUUCGCGGCGGUCCAGCCGUAACCCCUACCGGAUCUUUCGGGAGGAAGAUGAGUGUCAAUGAUCUAAUCGCGCGCCAGAUGCGCGUGUCUCGCCAGGAGAAGUCUCACUGCAAUUCCGUCUCCUUCGACCGCAACUGCGCCAACGCGUUUCACCACUACGUCAACGAGUCGUUG
Long non-coding RNA from Brassica oleracea var. oleracea, 1038 nucleotides. RefSeq lists it as uncharacterized. Lineage: Eukaryota; Viridiplantae; Streptophyta; Magnoliopsida; Brassicales; Brassicaceae. The record is from RefSeq and is a predicted model, not a curated record. The transcript is spliced from 4 exons.